AGUGAACGCUGGCGGUAGACCUAACACAUGCAAGUCGAACGGCAGCACAGUAAGAGCUUGCUCUUACGGGUGGCGAGUGGCGGACGGGUGAGGAAUACAUCGGAAUCUACUUUUUCGUGGGGGAUAACGUAGGGAAACUUACGCUAAUACCGCAUACGACCUACGGGUGAAAGCAGGGGAUCUUCGGACCUUGCGCGAUUGAAUGAGCCGAUGUCGGAUUAGCUAGUUGGCGGGGUAAAGGCCCACCAAGGCGACGAUCCGUAGCUGGUCUGAGAGGAUGAUCAGCCACACUGGAACUGAGACACGGUCCAGACUCCUCCGGGAGGCAGCAGUGGGGAAUAUUGGACAAUGGGCGCAAGCCUGAUCCAGCCAUACCGCGUGGGUGAAGAAGGCCUUCGGGUUGUAAAGCCCUUUUGUUGGGAAAGAAAAGCAGCAGGUUAAUACCCCGCUGUUCUGACGGUACCCAAAGAAUAAGCACCGGCUAACUUCGUG
This 492-nucleotide ribosomal RNA is filed under the name uncultured bacterium. RNAcentral's name for it is "partial 16S ribosomal RNA". It matches the Rfam family "Bacterial small subunit ribosomal RNA", at positions 29 to 507 of the family's 1533-position model. The record is from RNAcentral.